UGUUUCUGGGGAAAAAACGGGGUCAAAAUCCCCCCAAAAUCCCCCAAAAUCCCCAUUCCCCACUCAACCAAACCCCUUUUUGGGUGAGGAAGAGGCGAUUUGGGUCAGGGAAACUCAAAUUGGAUCGGUGUGUUAAGUCAUUAGGAUGAGACUGGGUUGGGUUCGAUGCUCUUUAGGAGCUGUUUGAUCCCAAAUUAAUCCCAAAUUCCCUGAUUUUGUGGGCUCCUCAUCCCAGAAAAACCCUGGAGCUGCAGGAGAGGUGUCAACCUCUCUCCCAAGGAAAGGAAAAAUGGGGAGAAAUCCAGAGAGGUGAGAACAAGGCAGCUCCAGCUUGGGAAAGAAGUGAUUUUAGGAUUUUUUACCCCAAUUUCAGCCUGACUCCUCACCUCCUCCACCUCCAGGUCGAUGCACCAGAUGACCAGGUAGUUGGCUGUCUCCUCGCAGACCAGGUGAGGGUUGUCCGACAGGUACUUCUGGCUGUCAUCCCAGCGCCUCAGCAUCCCUGCAACCAGGGAAAGAGGAGAAUUCCCCCUCCUCAGCCAGGGAACAAACCCCAAACUCCGUCAGGAUGAGGGUGGCCAGGAGGGCGAGCACCUCAUCGUGAAAUUUAACUAAACUCCCCCAAAACUGUGCUUCAGCAGGGGAAAAAAAUGGGAAAACCACACAAAAUCCUCGAUUUUUCAGCGCAGCGAGAGGAUUCCCGGCUGCUCCCACCACACGGGGUGUUCCCAAGCUUGGAGAACCCCAAAAAGUUUCCUCCCCCCUGAAAAUCCCUCACCAAAGUGUUUAAUCUGCUUCUCGUAUCGCUCCACGAAGGUUUUGUGUUUCUUCUCCUUCUGCUCCUCCGUCUCCUCCUUCUCCUCAGGCUUCACGUUGACAACGCUCUGGGAACGCCAAGGAAGGCAGGGAAUGAUUUGGGGAAUUUAGGACACGCUGGGGGUGCUUUUUUUGGGGGGGGUUUUCCUCCCCAAAACCCCCACCUUGCUGAAGCCAUCCUUGCUGAGCGUGUCCACGUUCCAGGGCAUGUUCUUCUCCUUCUUCCUCAGCUCCUCCAGCUUGUUCUCCCAACUUUUCUCCUCGUUCCUCAGCUGCUGGGCCUCGGCCUGGAGCU
This is a long non-coding RNA of Taeniopygia guttata (zebra finch), 1111 nucleotides long. RefSeq lists it as uncharacterized. The record is from RefSeq and is a predicted model, not a curated record. Lineage: Eukaryota; Metazoa; Chordata; Aves; Passeriformes; Estrildidae.